CUAAGAAUAUUCCGCAAUGGACGAAAGCCUGACCCAGCGACGCCGCGUGGGCGAUGAAGGCCUUCGGGUUGUAAAGCCCUGUCAUGCGGAAAGAACGACCCUGUGACGCAUACUCACAGGGAGUGACGGUACCGCAGGAGGAAGCACCGGCUAACUCCGUGCCAGCGGCCGCGGUAAUACGGAGGGUGCAAGCGUUGUUCGGAAUUAUUGGGCGUAAAGGGCGCGUAGGCGGUAAUGUAAGUCAGAUGUGAAAUACUUCGGCUCAACUGAAGAACUGCAUCUGAAACUGCAUAACUAGAGUACAGAAGAGGGAAACGGAAUUCCCGGUGUAGAGGUGAAAUUCGUAGAUAUCGGGAGGAACACCAGUGGCGAAGGCGGUUUCCUGGUCUGAUACUGACGCUGAGGCGCGAAAGUGUGGGGAGCAAACA
Molecule: ribosomal RNA, 428 nt
Filed under: uncultured prokaryote
Description: bacterial SSU rRNA
Rfam family: Bacterial small subunit ribosomal RNA
Source: RNAcentral